This 461-nucleotide ribosomal RNA is filed under the name uncultured bacterium. RNAcentral describes it as "partial 16S ribosomal RNA". It matches the Rfam family "Bacterial small subunit ribosomal RNA", at positions 338 to 795 of the family's 1533-position model. The record is from RNAcentral.
CCUACGGGAGGCUGCAGUGAGGAAUAUUGGUCAAUGGGCGGGAGCCUGAACCAGCCAAGUCGCGUGAGGGAAGACGGUCCUAUGGAUUGUAAACCUCUUUAGGCGGGGAGCAAUGCCGGGCACGCGUGCCCGGAGGGAGAGUACCCGCAGAAUAAGCAUCGGCUAACUCCGUGCCAGCAGCCGCGGUAAUACGGAGGAUGCGAGCGUUAUCCGGAUUUAUUGGGUUUAAAGGGUGCGUAGGCGGAUUUUUAAGUCAGCGGUAAAAUGUCCGGGCUCAACGUGGGAACUGCCUUUGAAACUGGCAAACUGGAGUGUGUGAGAGGAUAGUGGAAUUCCAGGUGUAGGAGUGAAAUCCGUAGAUAUCUGGAGGAACAUCAGUGGCGAAGGCGACUAUCUGGCACAUAACUGACGCUGAGGAGCGAAAGCGUGGGUAGCAAACAGGAUUAGAUACCCGAGUAGUC